AUGCAUAUUUUUGGGAAAGAAUGUGGGGGUUUCUGUUGUGGAAUAUGCCUUCUUCAAUCACUCUGGUUCUCCACCAUCGCCUCACAUAGAAUGGUGCGCAGGGCCUGAUGGAGCGUCCACAUUCUUCUGCUGUCAUCCACCGACCGUCAUCACCUCACUGCUCAGUGAUUUGGGCUCAGCCUCCUGUCAUUUCUCAACUUCUCCUCACACAGAGCGCUGGGGCCACAGGCCUCUGAGAAAUUGUGACCUUCCACCAGCAAAGCCAGGGACGAGGGACCUCUAAGGAAACAAGUGAACACACUCCAAGCCUGGCUUUAACUUUUUGGCCUAUGUGAACGUGGAAAACAUCAGAUGUGGAAAAUCUGAUAUCUUCGUGUCACUGGUUCUAAGGCAUCCUUCUGGGAAUUACAGGCAGUGUGGAUUAUCUGUGGACAAAAUUCAGGUCCUGAUAGCUCCUAAUUAAACUCUUAAUCCCCUGGGCUACUUUCUCUUGGCAUCUAGCCUCUGUGUCGGAGAAUUCAGAUGGUUUUUCUACUAGUAACAGUAAGACUGAAUUUCAAAGGUAAAUCUACUGAAAACAAAACCAGACUCCAACAACACAAUGCAGUCCAAGUUAAUUAAAUUUAUUUUUUUUAAUUUCAUUUUACAUUCCAGCCCAAGUUCUCCCCCCCCCCACAUCCCA
Molecule: long non-coding RNA, 682 nt
Organism: Mesocricetus auratus (golden hamster)
Lineage: Eukaryota; Metazoa; Chordata; Mammalia; Rodentia; Cricetidae
Exons: 3
Source: RefSeq, a predicted model, not a curated record